AAUCAUCCCUGAAUUCAUAUUAUUAUUGGAACAACACAGAGAAGAUUAGCGUGGCCCCCGCGCAAGGAUGACACGCAAAUUGUUCUAUAACCAACCCUGUAGU
Molecule: non-coding RNA, 103 nt
Organism: Teladorsagia circumcincta
Lineage: Eukaryota; Metazoa; Nematoda; Chromadorea; Rhabditida; Trichostrongylidae
Source: the annotation of a GenBank genome assembly